RNAcentral lists this long non-coding RNA (281 nucleotides) under Elaeis guineensis (African oil palm). RNAcentral's name for it is "long non-coding RNA (EGUI_LNC041748)". The record is from RNAcentral. Lineage: Eukaryota; Viridiplantae; Streptophyta; Magnoliopsida; Arecales; Arecaceae.
UAUGUGUUUUCUGUAAUUGCUUCUGCAGGAGGUUUUUGUUUCCGUAUGUUAAGUCCUCCCGCAGCUUUUUAAUUUUUUGGGCUGUAUCCCAUUCUGUUUGUGGUUUUAAUUGUUUGUACACUACCCCUUUUACUUCAAUGUGGCAUCUGGUUCCUCCUUUUUACCAGGAAACAAAAAAAAGAAUUUGUAAGACCUAAAGAGCAGAAGUUGACAAAGACUAAGCUUGGUCCAUGCUAAUUUUGUCUUCCAACGUUUAGAUCAAUAAAGUACUUCACUCAAAC